RNAcentral lists this ribosomal RNA (253 nucleotides) under uncultured bacterium. RNAcentral's name for it is "partial 16S ribosomal RNA". It matches the Rfam family "Bacterial small subunit ribosomal RNA", at positions 524 to 776 of the family's 1533-position model. The record is from RNAcentral.
UACGUAGGGGGCUAGCGUUGUCCGGAUUUAUUGGGCGUAAAGCGCGUGUAGGCGGCCAGGUAGGUCUGCUGUGAAAACUCGAGGCUCAACCUCGAGAUGUCGGCGGAAACCAUCUGGCUAGAGUCCGGAAGAGGAGAGUGGAAUUCCCGGUGUAGCGGUGAAAUGCGUAGAUAUCGGGAGGAACAUCAGUGGCGAAGGCGGCUAUCUGGACUAACACUGACACUGAGACACGAAAGCGUGGGGAGCGAACAGG